This 301-nucleotide ribosomal RNA is filed under the name uncultured bacterium. Its description in RNAcentral is "partial 16S ribosomal RNA". It matches the Rfam family "Bacterial small subunit ribosomal RNA", at positions 509 to 807 of the family's 1533-position model. The record is from RNAcentral.
CAGCCGCCACGGGAACACGAAGGGUGCAAGCGUUACUCGGAAUUACUGGGCGUAAAGCGUGCGUAGGUGGUGGUUUAAGUCCGUUGUGAAAGCCCUGGGCUCAACCUGGGAAUUGCAGUGGAUACUGGAUCACUAGAGUGUGGUAGAGGAUAGUGGAAUUUCCGGUGUAGCAGUGAAAUGCGUAGAGAUCGGAAGGAACAUCUGUGGCGAAGGCGACUAUCUGGGCCAACACUGACACUGAGGCACGAAAGCGUGGGGAGCAAACAGGAUUAGAGACCCCCGUAGUCCCUGUCUCUUAUAC